AACAUAAAUGUACAUUCUCAAAAACAUAAUUUAGCGAAUAACUCUUGUUUUUUUUCUUGUUGUGUUGUUUUGUAUUGUGCAAACCCAAUUCCUUCACCUGUUUCCAGAGGAUGGCACUCUUCUGAAAGCAGUAAACUACGUCGGUGAGAUGUUCAUCAUCGAGCAGAUUCAGCUCUUCCAGUCCCCCGAGGCCAUUAAGGUCCUGAGGUUUUCCGACGUCACGGGACAGCUAUACGCAGGAUCCGACUACGGAGUUGUACAGGUGCCUCUUGCCACCUGUGGGAGAUCCUUGUCCUGUUUGGACUGUAUUCUGGCAAGAGAUCCCUACUGUGGCUGGGACGCGGAUGCUGGGAGUUGCGUAGCCAUUUCCAGUACACAGAGG
Long non-coding RNA from Hippocampus comes (tiger tail seahorse), 382 nucleotides. RefSeq lists it as uncharacterized. The transcript has 2 exons. The record is from RefSeq and is a predicted model, not a curated record. Lineage: Eukaryota; Metazoa; Chordata; Actinopteri; Syngnathiformes; Syngnathidae.